UAGAUUCAAUCCUAUUGGAGAAUCAAGCGUCGAAACAUCUAGAAGGUUUGGCUUAUAGUUAUUCAAGUACAGAUACCUUCCUCUCCUAACCGACCUUUUCUAAAAUACUAAAAAAAAUCCCUUUUUUGUAAAUUCUUUUGAAUCUUACCUUUUCUUAUUAUUCCACCUAGAUAAAUCUAAAUGGACAAAUUGAUUAGGCCGAAUAAUUCCAUAUGUUAUAGAAAUAUCAUUAUUGGUUGAUCUAAGUUCAUGCAAUUUAUUAAUAAAAAUGAAUAAAAAAAUUAUUCAUUUUUAGUAUUUUGGUCAAUCGUUGAAUAAAAUCAACUGAAAGGGAAAUC
This 338-nucleotide long non-coding RNA is filed under the name Capsicum annuum. RNAcentral's name for it is "long non-coding RNA (CANN_LNC002061)". Lineage: Eukaryota; Viridiplantae; Streptophyta; Magnoliopsida; Solanales; Solanaceae. The record is from RNAcentral.